Molecule: ribosomal RNA, 253 nt
Filed under: uncultured bacterium
Lineage: Bacteria
Description: partial 16S ribosomal RNA
Rfam family: Bacterial small subunit ribosomal RNA
Source: RNAcentral
UACAGAGGGUGCAAGCGUUAAUCGGAAUUACUGGGCGUAAAGGGUGCGUAGGUGGUUUAUUAAGUUGUGUGUGAAAACCCUGGGCUUAACCUAGGAAUUGCAUAUAAAACUGAUAAGCUAGAGUGCGGUAGAGGGAAGUGGAAUUUCCGGUGUAGCGGUGAAAUGCGUAGAUAUCGGAAGGAACAUCAGUGGCGAAGGCGACUUCCUGGACCGUUACUGACACUGAGGCACGAAAGCGUGGGGAGCGAACAGG